Molecule: ribosomal RNA, 414 nt
Filed under: Paurocephala sp. 2 LS-2020
Lineage: Eukaryota; Metazoa; Arthropoda; Insecta; Hemiptera; Liviidae
Description: partial large subunit ribosomal RNA
Source: RNAcentral
GUAUGAAUGGUUUUACGGAAGUUUAACUUUUUUUUUAUUAAAAAUAUUGAAUUUGGUUUUUAARUWAAAAAMYUUAAAUUUUAUAAAGUGACGAGAAGACCCUAUAGAAUUUAAUAAUUAUACUGAAAGUAUUAUUUUUUUGUUGGGGUGACAUAAAAAUAACUUUUUAUAAUUUAUUCAUUUUAAAUGAUUUAAGGAUCUUUAUUUUUUGAUUAUAAAAUAAAAUUACCUUAGGGAUAACAGCAUAAUUUUUUUUGAAAGAUCUUAUUUGUAAAAAAGAUUAUGACCUCGAUGUUGAAUUAAGAUAAUAUUUUGGGGUAAGUUUUAAAAUAUUAAGUCUGUUCGACUUUAAUUUUUACAUGAUUUGAGUUCAGACCGGCGUGAGCCAGGUUGGUUUCUAUCUUUUAUUUUUUU